AAAUAGAUAAUCUGCAAUACACAUGCUGAAUUGCUAAUAAGCUUUUAGCAGUUACACAUUGCUCAUUUAUCUGCAAUACACAUGCCUUCUUUCCCAUGUAAAUUCUAAACUUUGCUCACUACUCUUUCUUUUCAGCAAAAAUCUGGAAUAAUGGAGAAGAAGAAUAAGAUAGUAGAAGAGUGACAGAUUGCUGCAACCACUUAGCUCACGAGAUGACCAUCUAUCUGCACUUGUCUUUCCCUUUGUCCUGCUAAUUUAGUAUCAGGUACUGAAAAUUAUCGUAUUUGGUUGAGAUCUAAACUAGGCAUAAGGUUAGUUUUUUACGUUUCUUAAUCCAAGUAAUUUCAUAAUCCAAGUAAUCUCUGUAUUGAUCAGACAAGAUAUGCAUUCUCAGGGUAGCAAUCACUAAUGUUGAUCUGCACAUCUUUCCAUUGCAAUAUGUGAUAUUUAGCCCAAGUAAUAUUUCAAUGACUUGACUCCAUCUAGAGAUGUUCGGUAAAGCAAAGAAAAUAAUUCCACAUGAAUAUAUCCUUAGUUACUUGUUAAACAAUGUUGAAAUUACACCAUCCGGUCACAAAUAUAAGUAGUUUUAGGAUUGUCCAAUGUCAAACUUUUUUAGCUUUGAUCAUCAAUACCUAAAAAUGCAAAUAGCUUGCAACAUAAGGUAUUAAGGUUGAUGCUGUUAGAUUCAUUAUGGCCUAAAUUAUAGUUCCAGCAUGUGCUUUUGCAAUUGACUCAGCUAUCUUGAGUACUUGACUAUACAAACUGUCUAGAAAUGUUGUUGUAGACUUUAGAAUGUAGCAUGACUAAUAUAAAGCUACAACUUGCAAACAACACCUGAAGUUUUUUUUAGAAUGUAGCAUGUGCACCUUGUGAGAAUAUAUGCAACAGCCAGGACAGUUGAUAAUGAUCUCACGAAAGUUAUCAGGCGUGUUUUCACAGCUUGGCUUGCUGCUGUAGGCAACACAACUGGAUCCAAACCCCUGUUAUACAUUGCAUGGACAAAGAGAAAGAUCAAAAUUACUCUAGACAAUUGUUCUCCAAUAUCCUGAUUAACUGACUUUGCAGUCAUGCAAAAAUAGAAGGAUCAAAAUUACUGUAUGUUUGCUCUACCGCGUCAGUGUAAUCAUGGAUGUUGGGAACAUCCUCCGCAUUCAGGAACUUAAUAAAUAAUUAAUGGUACAAGGGGAACUACCUAGUCAGUGCUACUGAUGCGCUCUUGACUAGAGGAUUUUCCUGCAAAGGAA
Panicum virgatum (switchgrass) is the source of this 1247-nucleotide long non-coding RNA. RefSeq lists it as uncharacterized. NCBI's taxonomy places the organism in Eukaryota, Viridiplantae, Streptophyta, Magnoliopsida, Poales, Poaceae. The record is from RefSeq and is a predicted model, not a curated record. The transcript is spliced from 2 exons.